CAGUAGCCACGGUAAAACGGAGGAUCCAAGCGUUAUCCGGAAUCAUUGGGUUUAAAGGGUCCGUAGGCGGUCUUGUAAGUCAGUGGUGAAAGCCCAUCGCUCAACGGUGGAACGGCCAUUGAUACUGCAGGACUUGAAUUAUUGGGAAGUAACUAGAAUAUGUAGUGUAGCGGUGAAAUGCUUAGAGAUUACAUGGAAUACCAAUUGCGAAGGCAGGUUACUACCAAUUGAUUGACGCUGAUGGACGAAAGCGUGGGUAGCGAACAGGAUUAGAUACCCGCGUAGUCCCUGUCUCUUAUAU
This 301-nucleotide ribosomal RNA is filed under the name uncultured bacterium. RNAcentral describes it as "partial 16S ribosomal RNA". It matches the Rfam family "Bacterial small subunit ribosomal RNA", at positions 509 to 809 of the family's 1533-position model. The record is from RNAcentral.